AGCUAGACAAGGACUUGACUUAGAUUUUCCCAGCGGGUCACACAGCUAUUUGCUAAUCAGCAGUAGCAUAAACACUGCCAGGAUCCUUAUGGGUCACUUGCUAGGGACAGGCUAAACAAACCAUCACCAGAUGAAAAGCAGCAUGGGUGAGUGGAUGAGAUUUGAAACAACUAUACUGGAGUCCCGAGUCUGUGCCUGGAGGGGUUUCAGGACUUGUGCGAUGGAGAGGUAGUUAGCUGGGAGGCUUGGAGCUCAGCCUCCGUCCCCGCACAGAUGGGAGUGCACAUGGGAUGGACCCCGUGCCAGCACUGGGCUGUGGAGGUGUGCGACAGCUUCAUUCCAACAGCUGAUCUGGUUUCCCCCCGCGGUGUGUAUCUGUUUACCUGGAGAUAUGAGCCCUCCCUAGAAGCCCCAGCUCCGCUGCCCCCGCAGCGGGCAGCAGCUGCAGCCGUACAAACCCCACACAAGCAGCUCAGAGGGGGCCUGACCUCAGGUAAUGCUCCUGGUUCUCCAUCUACUGCUUCCGUCCAUGCCCUCCUCAGCUACGGCGCAGCUAGCUGCUGGGUUGAUCUGGCAUGGAGCCACCACGUUGUGCAGAAAGCGUGACAGCUGUGGGGACGGGGUGACCCGACUGACCCAUCCACUCUCCUGGUGAUGGGCAGGACGGAGGGUGCAGCCUGGGGCUGGGGGAGUGCAAGGCUUCUUGCUAAAGGAGCUGGAAAGGUGAGACACCAGCAAAGUUUGUGUUGUCCAUUCCAGCAUAACAUGAGCAAGACUUUUAUGAAAUCAAAGUUUAAAACCGUUAUUUGCACUUACUAAUCAGCAGGAUGAGGGGCUCUGGCUCCGUUAGCAAUGUUGCCUCACUCAGUCAGCAGCUGCUCCGCUUGGAGGCAGGCACGCAUGCCUGUAUUUCUUCCUGUGGGAUUCCUGGGGAGAAGUACUCACGGACCAAAAUGAGGAGGCUUGGCCCCAAACUGUCCACAGCAAGAGCUGUGUAACAGUGUAAUUAGGAUCUGUGUUCUCCAUGCAGCUAGCAUGCAAGUUUCCAAGGAGAUUUAGGAAUACUGAAAUCUCCAUGGCACAAUAAAAAUAAUUUUUUGCAGUACAGACUAGAGCAACAGCAUCUAUAUUUUAGACCAGGAUUUAUUUUUAAUAAUCCAGCUGCCAAAAGCAGUGGCAUGAUUCUUCCUCAAUUUUUGAAGACACUUUGCCAUCAAAUUAAGUCCAGCUUUUUUCAAAACAAAAAUGCUCACCAAGCUGUGGUGAUUACAGCUCAUAGCCAGAGAUGGAAGCUGAUGGCAACCGGAGCCAUGGCCCUCUCCAGCUCACGGGGAGCUGGAGUCAACCAGCUCAUCUGUGUUGGUUGGUACCGGGGGAUUCACGACCAGCACAGGCCAGUGGGGCUGGUGGGGUGCUGCAGGGCUCCUUGCUGGAAACAUCAAGGCCAGACAGGCCAGUGCUGGAGGGAUCGGCAACCAGCUCUUUAGGCUUCUGUCUCAUCCCUGCUCCCUCUCCCGCCACGCCAGGGCAGGAGCCCAGAGGAGGGAAGGGUGGAGAGAAGGUGGCAAAGGAUUUCUUGCAAUAGGGAGGUAGAAGGGAAGAGGGAUGCUCCCUGCAGGGUGACUCACUGGGUAUUGCUGGAAGAGAGACCUGUGGGUCCUGCCUGGAGCAAAGAGGGGAGAGGGCAUCAGCGCGAGGCCCCAGGGAGCCAGCCUUUCCCAGGGGCACCCUGCCUGACCAGGAGGGAACCAGACUUGGGGCAGGACAGGGCAGCAAAGCUCUGGCACUCUCCUCCCCCAGAGGCUGAGUCCUGUGGGCUGUCCUGCAGGCUCUCUGUGGGCAGGAGCAGGGCAGCAGGGCAGUGAGCGAGAAACCUGCCUUCCCAUCACCAAUCCCUGCUGCCAGCCCAGAAAGGAGGAAAUUCAGGAUUCAAAAGUCCAGAGAGAGAGGGAGUAAAGAUGAAAACCCCAGUGAAGAAAGGGCUCUCUGGUGAAGGGUAAGUCCUGCCUUUCCUCUCUUGCCUCUCCCUUUUUUUGGAAGGGGUAAGAUGCUGUUGCCAUUAGCCCCGGGGCAAUGUGCAGUGUGGCAGAAAGUGAAAAGCAGAACCAUGCGUGAAAUUGUCCUGGAGGGGAGGGGUGGCGGAGAUGGCAUUGCACUAUGAUGCCACCUGCCAUCACUUCAGGGUGACAGAGAUGACAAGAGGACAUGUGCUCCUGCCCAAACAGCAGUCAGCCUGACUGUGGGGUGAGCGGACAUGGCUGGGUCCAAAGGGCUCCUGCCUUGCCCCCCGCAAGCUUUGACAGCAGCACCUGUACUGUGUUUCUUACCAGUGGCUGACACAACCAAGCUGGCUGGGAAGAAAACCAGCUUCUGACUCCCAAAGCAAGCACCUUUGAUCUGGAAAAGUCAAAGGGAUGCUGCCAGCUUCCCAGGAUGUCAUUUGCAUGAGGAUGCUGUGAUGGUACCCGGCAAACCGGUAAAGGACUGAGCCUCUUGCAGGAAUUAACCCCCAUUACUCCCCAGGUUAGGUGCCACAGGGGCUGACCUGAUAAAGCAGGAGGUAAUGACGGCACUGCCCAAACAUAGCAUGGGAGAUGCUGAAGGGCUGACGUGUCUCUGCAGGAAUAGCUGUCACACAGGAGGACCUUUCUGGUGCCACAAGGUGACCCACUUUACCAGCAUCUGCUGAAAUGAGAGGAAAGGAUGCGGGGGGGUGCACGCAAGCACGUGUGUGUGUGAGAGGGGCACAGAGAGGAGGCAGACGACUGGGAUUCAGUCUCCACAGUGAUUUAUCUGGGUGGUAUCAGCAUUCGCUUCCUUUUCCCCCCAUGAAAGCAGGAUUGUGCUGCACUUGCCCAAGGGGUUGUCACCUUCUGGGUCAUAUAACUUCCUAAAUGGGACUGCUUGGAGCUGCCUGUCUGUCAUGAACCUGUCCCUCACCAAAACAGAUCUGGGAGCUGCUGCCACCCUAAUCGUUUAAUAUGAUGCUAUUAUCGAUGUAGGAACCAACGGAUUUUAUCAAACCUGUGUGCAGUGACUGACCAGCUCUGCACUGUGAUCCGGAGGAGCCAAAAAGGACUUCAUGGUGGUCACCCAUGUAAUAAUCCCUGUAAGAAAGAAUUUCCUCUCUUCUUCCUGCAGCAAGCUGCUUCAUACCUUGGUACCCAAGGAUCUGGGGUUUAUGUUUGUAUAUUACUGUUCAGGAUAUGUUAGUCAUAUCUUGAUUUUAUCUUUUUCUUUCUGCAGAAGUGCUGGGACUGCUGGUGAUGGGUGGAGGAGGAUCUUUUGGCUCUCUCUUCCAUGCUGACCACUUUCUGGCCUGGUUUUGCUGCAUUUCUUGUCACGUUACUUUACUCUGUAGCUCAGUGGUUUACAAAUGAGAGCAAACGCAGAAGCAAAAUGCCCCAAAAGUUCAGGCUUUUGGAGCUGAUCCCUAAGAACUUUCCCAGAAUAUUUGUGCUAUGAAAGAAAUACAGAUCAGUGAAAAGCUUGUAAGUGAAAGACUGUGGCUUCACACAGCCCUGUAAGCUCUGGACACCGGUGGCGGUGAGGUGGGGAAAGCAGUCCCAGUUACAUGCAGCAUUAGUUACACCUGGAAGCGGCUGCAGCGUGGGGUUUUAACACCGUAUCUGUUUUGCCUUCCAGUCCAUUUGCCAGCGCAGGGCUGAGGAAGGGGUGGUGGUGUUCUGCCAUGAGGUUGGGGGUGAAAAGCCCUUUACAUCAAGAAAGUAUCAAAGGGCAGAGAGCACUGAGCUCCCUGCACAAAGCAGUGAGCUGGCUGUCCCAGCCCUGCAGUGCAGCCCACUCUCUCCCUGUCUGCCAGGACUCUGCGAUCUGGAGUGAAGGCAGACCUCAGGUUUCCAGGCUGAAUCUACAAGGGCAACAUUGACCUAAUUAGUCUCUGAAACAAAUGGGAGAGAAAGACUUGGCACCGUAUGUUACAGUAAGAAAUCCUCUCCCUCUCCUUUCGCUCUCCUGGCCCCGGGGAUUCAUCCCGGGCAGGUGCUUCUUUGAUUGCAGCAGGUUUUGAAUCCUCUUCCCUCUCCUUGAGGGGAUGCCACAUGCUGUCUUCUGACCUCGUUAGCUUCUCCUCCUGUUCCACUUCCCUGUUCUGCACUCCCAGCCCCACCGAUGUGCUAAUUACUACAAAGCAAUCUGCAGGAACGCGUUCCUCCGAGCGGGGUGAGGGGAGCAGGGAGAGGAGGGAGAGAUGCUGUCAGAGCAUCGUGGGGGAUGGAGCAAAUCAGGUGAGCAGGGAGCCUGGUUAAGCAAUGCUGACGUUUGAGCUCACACCAGACUCUUUCCCUGACCAGGUCGGUGCCAAGUGUGGCACAUGGGUGUGCAAGAGGUGAGCUGGUCUCCCAUGGUGGGUCUGCAGAGCAGGCUGUGCUGCCUGCCCGCAGGGCCGGCUACCAUGGGAUCCCCACAUCACCACAGUAGCUUGCGUGGUCAUGGGACCUGGUGUGCCUCAGCUGCAUCCAGGGCACUGGUGUGCUGUGCAGAAAUAACACGAAUCUCCAAGGGUGAUCGUUGCCAGUUAACCAUCCCCACUCAGCUCCGGGCUCCUCUUGCACUGGUCCGUGCAGGCAGGUCUGCACGCCUGCCCACGGACAGGCCUCGUGAGAGGUCCCAUUGCCCUGGACAGGGUGGACACUGCCGGCUCUGUAGGAGAGCUGUGGAGCCACGGCCAGUGCGUUGCUGCUCCCACCGUCGGGCUGUGAUGGAAAGGCAAGGGGUUUGCUCCGAGGCUGCAUCCCUCGCAAUUGCAGGUAAUGGACUUUCAGCCUGCAGCCGACCUGUGCUCAAACAGGCAGAGCUCUCGGAGCACGGGCAGAGGUCCACACAGGGCUCCUCUCCUCCAGCACUGGUUGAAAAUGAGGAAGCUGGAGGGGUCUGAAGUUUGGGUUAAAUUUGUCUGGCUGAAAUGACAAGAUUUUCCUCUUCUUCCUUAAUCAGUGAGAGACAAUUGAAAAUAGAGAAGGGAAAAACAAUAAUUAAUGAAAGAGCCAGAUCCUGAACCCUUUGCCUUGCUGUAAGUCUGAAGACAGCCCAUUAAGGCUGCUGGGAUUUUAUUUUGAUUGAGCUGCUGUGAGUGAAAUUAAUGUUAGUUUCACUAAACUAAAAGCAAGACAAAGGAGAGAAAAGCCAGUCCCUCUAACUUUAGCUGAUUGCGAAAUCAGGGAGAGGGACAGUAGGGUGACUCUCAGGAGGGACAUUUUCCUUGUGAAGCCUGUUUGGGAGCGAGGGAAGCGAUAAGGUGCCACCUCACCCAAGUGCAAGACCAUACUGCCGUUGACGAAGAUGCCCUUGGGGUCUGGCCAUCCUGCACAUUCACACAACUUGCAUGGUCUCAGCCGACACUCCCCUUCUCCCUGCUUUCAGAUCAGGAUCCGGGUUAUAAGCAAGGCAUGAAGUGCGUGAAGAGACCCAAAGAGCUCAGCUGAGGGCUCACGUUUUCCUGGUGCUCCCUGGGUUUUAAUACUCAUGUUGUGUUUUGAGUGCACAAGCUCUUGGAUUAAUCCAUCCUCCCCUGCAGGUCCCCUCUGAAUGCAUCUGAUGGCGCAUGUUGAUGCGCAGACUCCUCAGACAUGGGGGUCUCUGUCUGGUUUUGGGAUGGACCCACCUUUUGGUGGCGUUUGAAGAAAGUGCCCUUUCUCUCUCCUAGUACUCAGUAUCUUUGUCUUUCAAAGCUUGCCAUUGUGAUCUCUCUUCCCUGUUGCUUCUAUUUUAAUUACGUGGUUAAUGGGCCCCCUGCCAGCCUCUACCUUUCUUAGACCUUUCUCCAUAUCACACGUUAUGUGAAAAGCAAAGGUUGCUCUAUCUGCUGGCACGUACAGAGCAGCUGGGGAGGUGCACGGAGACCCACAGCCAGCGGUGCUGGUGCUGGUGCUGAGCAGAGCUGAUCCAGGAAGCACAAGCCCCAGCUCUGGGACAUCCCUGCAGCCUGACCCAUCCCCCUGAAGAACAGCCAGGUAGAAACAACUUCUGGAGGGCUCAGUGGGUGCAAAAUGCACUUAAGUGGAAGGUGUAAAAAUGUCUCACUUUCUCGUGAUGUUUGAGGAGGAGGUGCUGCUGCAACACGGGUAUUUUUGGCGUGGUGUGGACUUCAUCUUCUUUCCUACCAGCUCGUAAUAACUCAGUUUUGAAGUCCACGCUGUUCUGUUCCUUUGUGGGUCUUACAGUUGCCCUGGCAGAGGAAGGGCAGUAUGAGAGCUGCCCAAAGGGGUUUUGUGCUCUCCACUCUAAGGUAGUGGUUCAGGGUGGGAUUGCACCGCCAGCGAUCAUCACCAGUCCAUCCCGCAGCAGGGACAGCACCUGUCUCUCUCCUUACAGGCUCUGGAAAGGACCCAAACACUAAACUACGUCAUCACUAGUUAGGUGGGACAAAUGCCACCUACACCUUAGCUUUUCUCCUACCAAAAUAUUUACCUAACAGGCAGCUCUGGAGUUCUUUGACAGAUAUUUUGGUAUUUGGAUGCACGUGAAUGGGAGAUGAGUCAGCUCUUCCUCCCCAGCCUGUUUGCAAAGGGCACAUCCAUAGCGUGAUGGAAUUGUGUGUUGACAAGUUGACGAUAAACCCCCCAGGCCUCUGCAAGAUGUGAUGCUUCUAAAUGCUUCUACAGCUCAGCCACACGCCAGAGCGAGGGCAGGAGGCUCGUGAGUAGGUACCUGACCGAGCGAACUAUCAAGUCUGAGUGGCAGAUACCUUCAGGGGGACAUUUGCACACUCUGCGAGAGAAAGGUCCACGUGGACAUGCUCUGUUAAAUUUCUUUAAUAAGAGUUCACAUGGUGCUGUGUGUUGGAUUUGUGACCAAAACAGUGUUGGUAACAGCCGAGCGCCUGCCUGCUGGUGGGGAGCGGUGAAUGAACGCCCGGCUUUGCCUUGCACGUGCAGCUUUAGCUUUACCUGUUAAGCUGUCUGCAUCGAAACCCAUGAGUUUUCACAUCUUUACCCUUUUGAUGCUCUGCCCCAUCGCACUGCAGGGUAAGCGAGUGGCUGGGGGCGCUCAGCUGCCUACGGGGACACGACAAAGUGGAUUUUCUGCUCCCUCGAAGGGGCGCUGGAUGUACUGACUCACAGUGCAGUGACUACAGGAUGCUGACAACGUCCUCCAAUUCCUAGGUGCACACAACUUCAUUUAAGCACAUCUAUUUUUCUUGUCUUCCCUUGUAGGUUUUUCUUUUCAAAUAUCCACUUGACCUUCCUUUUCUCUUCCUACCAUCCUGUUUCAAGGCACGAAUAAGUACCUUCGGGAGUAAGGCGCUCCCAAACUGGAGCCUGUCCCUGCCUUUUUGUCAUUUGUCCCAGACCUGUGUGCAGAACGGAGAAUGCUUACUUGCAAGACAGUGAUGGAAGGGCAUAAGGUCUGCUGAAAAAUUUAGGAUGUGAGCUACGACAUUAUUUGCAACUGGUGAAGCUCUGUCUCGUAAUUCCUGGAAAAUGGGAGCAAAUGUUAGCUUUAGAUCGCACAAUGCAUAGACACUGCAAAACACAAAGUUACAAUUUAUUUUGAAUGUUUUGCAGUGUCAUUUUUUCACCUGGUCUUCUUAAUUUACCAAGCUUUUCAGACUUCCAGAAUUUAGUUUUACAGAUUUACAUUUUUACAGAUUUGCAUUUAAUUUUACAGAUUUAAUUUUUCAAAUUUUAACACGUGGGAAUGUCCACAGAAGAUAGCUUUUCCUAGACUUUGAUGUUGAAAGGCUCUUAAAUUGGUUUCUCAUUAUUUUGGCAUUGCUUUGUAUUCACUGAUGCUUGCCCUGUCAUUGUUGUGCUUUUUUAAAGGAUAACAGAGGUGAGGAUUGUGGAGUUUGGUUUUCAGGGAGCAAUGUAGUUUUUCUUGUGCAUGUUCCACUUCAAACUCCUGGUCUUCCCAUUUCUUUUCACACAGGAAGCUUCUCAUGUCCAUUCUUAUCUCUGUGAGCAGUGGCAAUGACACUCCCUUGUCAGGGAUGCAGACCUGCUCAGUGAUGGUUCCAGAACACUGAGAUACACAGCAGCCAUGAACCCAUCUGUACUGUGGAGGUCUAUGAAUUAGCUGAAAAAUAAAGGUGGUGUGAAAUGUGACAAAACUCACAAUAAGGUGCAUUUAAAGGAA
Molecule: long non-coding RNA, 8097 nt
Organism: Falco peregrinus (peregrine falcon)
Lineage: Eukaryota; Metazoa; Chordata; Aves; Falconiformes; Falconidae
Exons: 2
Source: RefSeq, a predicted model, not a curated record